UACGGAAGGUCCGGGCGUUAUCCGGAUUUACUGGGUGUAAAGGGAGCGUAGACGGUGAUGCAAGUCAGAAGUGAAAGCCCGGGGCUCAACUCCGGGACUGCUUUUGAAACUGUACAGCUUGAUUGCAGGAGAGGCAAGCGGAAUUCCUAGUGUAGCGGUGAAAUGCGUAGAUAUAUGGAAGAACACCAGUGGCGAAGGCGGCCGCCUGGCCUGUUACUGACGCUGAGGCACGAAAGCGUGGGGAGCAAAUAGG
This 253-nucleotide ribosomal RNA is filed under the name uncultured Eubacteriales bacterium. RNAcentral's name for it is "uncultured Clostridiales bacterium partial 16S ribosomal RNA". It matches the Rfam family "Bacterial small subunit ribosomal RNA", at positions 524 to 776 of the family's 1533-position model. The record is from RNAcentral. Lineage: Bacteria; Bacillati; Bacillota; Clostridia; Eubacteriales.